This 490-nucleotide ribosomal RNA is filed under the name uncultured bacterium. Its description in RNAcentral is "partial 16S ribosomal RNA". It matches the Rfam family "Bacterial small subunit ribosomal RNA", at positions 30 to 507 of the family's 1533-position model. The record is from RNAcentral.
AUUGAACGCUGGCGGCAUGCUUUACACAUGCAAGUCGAACGGCAGCGCAGAGAAGCUUGUGUCUUGGGUGGCCAGUGGCGAACGGGAGAGUAACAUACCUGAACGUACCGAGCAGUGGGGGAGAACUAAUCGAAAGAUUAACUAAAACCGCAUAUCUUCUGAAGAAGAAAGCACGGGGGCAUUUGGCCUUGCGCUGGUUGAGCGGCCGAUAUCUGAUUAGCUAGUUGGUGGGGUAAAGGCCUACCAAGGCGACGAUCAGUAGCGGGUCUGAGAGGAUGAUCCGCCACACUGGGACUGAGACACGGCCCAGACUCCUACGGGAGGCAGCAGUGGGGAAUUUUGGACAAUGGGCGCAAGCCUGAUCCAGCCAUGCCGCGUGUCUGAAGAAGGCCUUCGGGUUGUAAAGGACUUUUGGCAGGGAAGAAAAGGGCGGGGUUAAUACCCCUGUCUGAUGACGGUACCUGAAGAAUAAGCACCGGCUAACUACGUG